GAACGGGUGAGUAACACGUGAGUUACCUGCCCCGAAGUGUGGGAUAGCCUCUCGAAAGGGAGAUUAAUACCCCAUGUGAUCGCAAGAUUAAAGGCGGCCAUCUUUUGAUGGCUGUCGCUUCGGGAUGGGCUCGCGGCCUAUCAGCUAGUUGGUGAGGUAACUGCUUACCAAGGCGAUGACGGGUAGCUGGUCUGAGAGGACGACCAGUCACACUGGAACUGAGACACGGUCCAGACACCUACGGGUGGCAGCAGUCGAGAAUCAUUCGCAAUGGGCGAAAGCCUGACGGUGCGACGCCGCGUGGAGGAUGAAGGCCCUAGGGUCGUAAACUCCUGUCAUCAGGGAGUAAUGGCUCACGUAGUAACUGACGUGAGCAGUGAUAGUACC
RNAcentral lists this ribosomal RNA (387 nucleotides) under uncultured bacterium. Its description in RNAcentral is "bacterial SSU rRNA". It matches the Rfam family "Bacterial small subunit ribosomal RNA", at positions 100 to 479 of the family's 1533-position model. The record is from RNAcentral.